This 76-nucleotide transfer RNA is filed under the name Caldifarciminota bacterium. RNAcentral describes it as "candidate division WOR-3 bacterium (hot springs metagenome) tRNA-Pro". It matches the Rfam family "tRNA". From Rfam's summary of the family: Transfer RNA (tRNA) molecules are approximately 80 nucleotides in length. The record is from RNAcentral. Lineage: Bacteria; Pseudomonadati; Caldifarciminota.
CGGGGCGUAGCGCAGCCUGGUUUAGCGCACCAGCUUGGGGUGCUGGGGGUCGGUGGUUCAAAUCCACUCGCCCCGA